UACAGAGGUCCCGAGCGUUGUUCGGAUUCACUGGGCGUAAAGGGUGCGUAGGUGGUGAGGUAAGUCGGAUGUGAAAUCUCCGAGCUCAACUCGGAAAUGGCAUUGGAAACUACCUUGCUCGAGGGUUGGAGGGGGGACUGGAAUACUUGGUGUAGCAGUGAAAUGCGUAGAUAUCAAGUGGAACACCAGUGGCGAAGGCGAGUCCCUGGACAACUCCUGACACUGAGGCACGAAAGCUAGGGAGCAAACAGG
This 252-nucleotide ribosomal RNA is filed under the name uncultured bacterium. RNAcentral describes it as "partial 16S ribosomal RNA". It matches the Rfam family "Bacterial small subunit ribosomal RNA", at positions 524 to 776 of the family's 1533-position model. The record is from RNAcentral.